GACGAACGCUGGCGGCGUGCCUAAUACAUGCAAGUUGAGCGCUGAAGGUUGGGAUUUGUACCAUAUGGAUGAGCAGCGAACGGGAGUGUAACGCGUGGGGACUCCGCCUUAGAGCGGGGGACAACAUUUGAACACGAAUGCUAAUAGCGCAUAACAACUUUUUACAUAAGAUUUAAGUAUGAAAGAUGCAAUUGCAUCACUCAAAGAUGAAUCCGCGUUGUAUUAGCUAGAUGGUGUGGCAAAGGCUCACCAAGGCGAUGAUACAGAGCCGACCUGAGAGGGUGAUCGGCCACAUUGGGACUGAGACACGGCCCAGACUCCUACGGGAGGCAGCAGUAGGGAAUCUUCGGCAAUGGACGGAAGUCUGACCGAGCAACGCCGCGUGAGUGAAGAAGGUUUUCGGAUCGUAAAUCUCUGCUGGUAGAGAAGAACGUUGGUGAGAGUGGAAAGCUCAUCAAGUGACGGUAACUUCCCAGAAAGGGACGGCUAACUACGUG
RNAcentral lists this ribosomal RNA (497 nucleotides) under uncultured bacterium. RNAcentral's name for it is "partial 16S ribosomal RNA". It matches the Rfam family "Bacterial small subunit ribosomal RNA", at positions 28 to 507 of the family's 1533-position model. The record is from RNAcentral.